UACGUAUGGGGCGAGCGUUGUCCGGAAUUAUUGGGCGUAAAGGGUACGUAGGCGGUUUUUUAAGUCAGGUGUCAAAGCGUGGAGCUUAACUCCAUUAAGCACUUGAAACUGAAAGACUUGAGUGAAGGAGAGGAAAGUGGAAUUCCUAGUGUAGCGGUGAAAUGCGUAGAUAUUAGGAGGAAUACCGGUGGCGAAGGCGACUUUCUGGACUUUUACUGACGCUCAGGUACGAAAGCGUGGGGAGCAAACAGG
RNAcentral lists this ribosomal RNA (252 nucleotides) under Parvimonas micra ATCC 33270. Its description in RNAcentral is "partial 16S ribosomal RNA". It matches the Rfam family "Bacterial small subunit ribosomal RNA", at positions 524 to 776 of the family's 1533-position model. The record is from RNAcentral. RNAcentral also lists the same sequence under 1 other name. Lineage: Bacteria; Bacillati; Bacillota; Tissierellia; Tissierellales; Peptoniphilaceae.